GGGGUUGUCCGAGAGGUUCGGUCCGAUGCCUUGCAAGCAUCCGGGUGAGGGUGCGACUCCCUCCAGCUCCACCA
This 74-nucleotide transfer RNA is filed under the name Polyangiaceae bacterium. RNAcentral's name for it is "tRNA-Ala". It matches the Rfam family "tRNA". Rfam says of the family: Transfer RNA (tRNA) molecules are approximately 80 nucleotides in length. Lineage: Bacteria; Pseudomonadati; Myxococcota; Polyangiales; Polyangiaceae. The record is from RNAcentral. RNAcentral also lists the same sequence under 1 other name.